This 820-nucleotide ribosomal RNA is filed under the name Priestia flexa. Its description in RNAcentral is "Bacillus flexus partial 16S ribosomal RNA". The stretch from base 6 to 525 matches the Rfam family "Bacterial small subunit ribosomal RNA", at positions 38 to 536 of the family's 1533-position model. Lineage: Bacteria; Bacillati; Bacillota; Bacilli; Caryophanales; Bacillaceae. The record is from RNAcentral.
GGGGGGGGGGGGGGCCUAAUACAUGGCCAAGGUCGAGCGAACUGAUUAGAAGCUUGCUUCUAUGACGUUAGCGGCGGACGGGUGAGUAACACGUGGGCAACCUGCCUGUAAGACUGGGAUAACUCCGGGAAACCGGAGCUAAUACCGGAUAACAUUUUCUCUUGCAUAAGAGAAAAUUGAAAGAUGGUUUCGGCUAUCACUUACAGAUGGGCCCGCGGUGCAUUAGCUAGUUGGUGAGGUAACGGCUCACCAAGGCAACGAUGCAUAGCCGACCUGAGAGGGUGAUCGGCCACACUGGGACUGACACACGGCCCACACUCCUACGGGAGGCAGCAGUAGGGAAUCUUCCGCAAUGGACGAAAGACUGACGGAGCAACGCCGCGUGAGUGAUGAAGGCUUUCUUGUCGUAAAACUCUGUUGAUAGGGAAGAACAAGUACAAGAGUAACUGCUUGUACCUGGACGGUACCUAACCAGAAAGCCACGUCCAAUUCCGUGCCAGCAGCUGAUACAAAACGUACGUGGCAAGUGUAAUUUUGAAAAUUGGCCGGAAGGUGCGCGUUUUGCUAAUUCAAAAGUCAAACCCCCACCUCCCACCCUUCAAUUGUGUUUUGGACAUCGGAAAACUGGUGUACAGUGAAGGACAAUCAAAUUUUCCGCUUUCCACGUAUAUGCGUUGAAAAUGUAACGAGUUGGGCCGGGACACCCGCCUCCUCUGUAACGAUUUUUUUGCCUGACAGGCGAUGGCGACGGGACCAACCCGCCUGGAAUCCCCUUCCCUUUCCCCCCCCCGACCUAGUCUCUUUGAGGCUGUGACCUCGC